Molecule: long non-coding RNA, 2488 nt
Organism: Amphiprion ocellaris (clown anemonefish)
Lineage: Eukaryota; Metazoa; Chordata; Actinopteri; Pomacentridae
Source: Ensembl
GGCUCAGUCAUGGCAGCUGCCAGUGAGACGCUCCUGAAUCCCGACAGUUGUGGAUGUUUCAGAGACAUUUAGCGAAAUAAAACGAGAGCCAACGGCGGACAGAUGCUGUUUUUUUUUUAUUAUUAUUAUCAGAGCCACGAUGGAGUAACAAGCCGGCGGCGGGGAAACUUGUGAUCUGUUCUGGAUGGAACCGACGGGUCUACAAGACGUUUUCAAAUGUAUAACACUAUCCAUUGCAGCAAUGGAGGAUAUUGGUCUCUCUCCCAAACCCACCAAUGACCCCCCAGUUCACAGACCCACAGUCUCUGAGACUUUCGGGCUGCAUCACAUCCCAGCAGACCAUCUGCAGGUCAGUGAUGCGAGCAGGAAAUCUGAGGUGGACAGAGAUGGAGCGUCGAGGAUAAGUUCCCAAUCUGUGAUCACAGCAGAGUCUCAGAUGAUUCCCCAGUUUCCUUUACAGAUCCCUUCACCUGUGGGUGCUGACACUACACUCCUUAAUACAGCUGCCAAAAACGGAAACACUAAUUUGGAUAAGGUAUGCGCAGCGAGAGCCAAAGUCAAAGUCACAGAUCCAUUCAAGUGGAAGCAAAACAAGCAGAAACAGCUGAGAAUGGAGGGAAAAGCAUAUGUAAGCAAACGCAAAAAAGACGGCGAGAUUGUAACCAAGCAGUCCAGAGCAAUGGGACCAAGAUGCACCUCGAAUGCAUGCAAAAAGGCAUCGAACCGGCUCUGCAGUGAAAUCACAGAAGAGGCGAGGAAGAGAGUGUUUGAUGAAUUCUGGCAGCACAUGAACUGGUCUCAGAGAAAACUGUAUGUGGCAGGACAAGUCGACCGCGACCCUGUGGAAAGAUCUCGGGCGGUGGGCUCGCAGUCUAGGAGAUCGGUUUCACUACGUUAUCACUUGAUGGUGGAGGGCAAAAGGAAGCAAGUGUGUAAGAAUAUGUUCCUGUCCACGCUGGGGGUUGGAGAGUGGUCUGUGCUCAACUGGGCGCAGAGAGGAAUCAAGAAAAAGACAGAAUCAAAUGAAAACAAGUCAGAAAAGCGGCUGCCUGUGCCUCGGUGCCCACAGUGGAUCCCUGCUCCUAUAGCUCUCAGCAACACUAUGGAAGUUACUCGGGAACAAGUGAAUCCCACUGACAAAGAACCAGAGGGGCCAAUCAGAAAGAAAUCCAGAGUGGCCAAGCCGCUAACAUGGAAACAAAAUCGACAGAAGCAGCUUAGGAUGGAAGGAAAACCGUACAUCAGCAAGCGGAAGAAAGACGGUGCAACUGUAACUAAAGCUCAGAGAACAAUGGGACCAAGAUGCACAUCCAGCGCCUGUAAAAGGGCAUCAAACCGCUUCUGUGCUGACUUCAGUGAAGAAGCAAGAAGCCAACUGUUCACUACUUUCUGGCAGUGUAUGAACUGGGCUCAGAGAAAGAUCCACGUGGCUGGACUAGUCGACUGCAAUCCGGUGGAAAGAACCCGAGCACCGUGGACACAGUCGAAAAGAUCAGUGUCGAUGCGAUACCAUUUGUUAGCCAACGGUGAUAGAAAACAAGUGUGCAAAAAGAUGUUCCUCUCCACUUUGGGGAUUGGAGAGUGGUCAGUGCUUAACUGGGCACAAAGUGCAUCCCAGCUGGACAAUUCCGCGGAAAACACUACGAAGCGAACACAGAGGAAGUCUCGUAAAGCCUCAGAGCAUGUUUUCCUGAAGGAGUUCCUCGAGAGUUUACCCAAAGUGCCCUCUUACUGCUUUGGGACGUCCGUGUCUAAGCUGUAUCUCGAGCCAGUCUUCUCAAACAUGUCGGAGGUGUACAGGCACUACUACAACCACUGCUUAGAGAAGAAGGCGACGCCGCUCUCUCGGCAGGUUUUCUGUGCCGUAUUUAAAAAGAUGGAUUUAGGACUGUGCGACUCUAAAAAGGAUCAGGCUUUUUCUUUUGGUACAACAGGAAAUAUAUUUAAUGAGCUCUGGGAGGAAUACUGUAUGGAAAGAGGAGCUCAAGCAGAGAAAACUGGUAACUAGUAGAGGAGGAUAAAUGUUGGAGAUCAUUGCUAUGUUAUUACCAGCUGAGUAUUCCUCCAUUCAAACAACUAUACUUAAUGAUCUUCAUUAUCUUCCAUUAAGCACAGGUAGUUGUUGUUUUUUCAGCAGCCCAACUGUCUCCACGCAGCUGAAACAGUUGUUUGACCUAAGUGUAAUAAUUUAAGCACUACAUCCGUUUUGUCCAAGUUGCUCCUUUGAAAUUUAAGUUAUUUUGAGACUCUUUGUCAGCCAUCAAAUGGCAUCACUGCAGAAUGUGUAAAAGAAUUUACUAAAACAUUCAUGUGCCAAUCUGCUGUUGUGAAUGUCAGUGAAUGUGAAUGCUCAACGUGUCUGAAAGGACUUGAAACUGCUCAAAGUAUUUAUUUUUCCUUGUGAAUUAAAUAGGAACACAUAACCGAAGCACUUUGCAGAAUCCUUUCGGAGUAAGAGCUUGAUUCAAGGAAACGUUUUUUUGAACUG